GUCGCGCACACCAGCCGCCGCGUCGCAAGGCUGUCAUGCCAUCAGUCCAUCCGUCGGAUAUCAGGUGCCGCCGAGCGGUGAGAGGCACUCGAGAAUCCACCGAGCAGUCGCUGCCGUCGGGGUCUCACUUCGGUCGGUGUCAUUCUCCAGCCAUAUCGGCUGCACUGUCAAUUUCGUUGGACUGCCGUGGACUUCUCGGCUUAGGUUGACUUGGAAAAAUUUGCAAGGAAUCUUCCUCUUCACCUUAUCGCAGCGAUUAUGGUUUGGGAAAAGGAAAAAUCCACGUUCAAGUAUUUGCUAUGUGGAAUUCUUCUGUUGCAUUCCAUGUGUGAUCUUGCCUCCCGGGUGCCCAAAAUUGAACAGAUUGCAGUCUACAAUUGUUGACGGUCAUUGUUUCUUCACAGUACCAAGAGGUUGCUCUAGCAUUGACUGCAUAUUACAAGGUAGCAAUCCAGGAUUUGGUGUACAUAUGCAAAGAGGCAGCAUUUGCUGCGGUUUGUGUAGAUGUCAAGUAUCUGCGGACCAACGAUUCAUCUAGAAGUGUAUCCCCUACUACUGAAGAGACCUUGAAUCACCUCGGCUGCAGUGUGAUUCUUCUCUUCAAUUUCUACAGUCUCUGUGUCAGCAAAAGUUAUUUCGGGAAUGCAUUGUUAACAAACAGGUUAUUUAUAAGUCAAUUUGAGUCCCGAAUCGUUCGUGCUGCAUCAGAAGAUAAUUUAUUCCAUGAGCUUGGGAAGCGGUGGAUUGCAGGAGCAACUAGCUUCCUGUGUUGGACUCGGCCCUGAUGAAAAAAGGAGUAGCUCUACUUCUCAUCUUUGUAGUCGUCAAAAUCAUGGUCUUUGAGGAUUCUGGUAACUCUACUUCUAAUCUUUUUCAGGUGUUGUUCGAGCCCGUAUAUACUCAACUUGGGAUGCUUCCUACUUAUACAUGAGUGCCUAGCUGCUAUUUAUUUUCAUUCAUGCCUGAUAUGUUGAUUUUUAUAGAGAAUUUAAAUGUUAAUUGACAUGUUAUGAUUAAGAGUAAAUUUCCGAGAGGUUGUCUCACAACUCUCUAAUCUGUGCAUCUCCCUAGUUUUUAAUGAUUUCAUACACAUCACCAGUCGAUAAACAAAGGAUAUUAGCUUCAUAAAUAUCCAAAAAUUGCCCUAGUACUAUUCUACUUUGUAGUGAGGACGAAAAGCUUCCACGAACAGUGUUUCACCACUUGUUAUUUGUGUGUGCAUGCUAGAUUUUCUCUCUAUUGAUUGUCACUACUUUCACCACUUUUUUAUGGGUUAUUAGUGUAGACUUCGUUUCUCUCGAGGGUUGGUCUAUAAACUUCUUGUUGCUUACUAACUUCUGGAGAACUAGGUUUCCCGUGCUUCAGAUACAGUGACAAUAAUGUUCUUUGGUGCCCGAUUUCUUGAGCUAAGGAGAGAGAACUAUUCCGGUUUUGAAAAAUUAAUUCAAAAAGCCAUAGGGCCGAUCAACUGAAUGAGAGCUUUAUGAGUUGCAAUCUUGUUGAUAUUGGUGCAUAAAAAUGAUUUAGGCAAUAGGACUAAAAGCCUCAUAUCCAAAUUAUCACAUGCCUAACCCUACAUAAACCACUAGUGAGCCGGUUUGAGCCCCAAAAGCCUAUUUUCUUUGUUGAAAAUUUUGAAGUCACUAUAUUAGCCUACUUAUUAUAUCCGUUUGUUGGCCUAUAUUUUCUACCCUAGUCACUAAAAUUAAAGUGCUAGCACAUUAUUGGGAGGGUAUUUAUGGUGGCAAGGAAAAGAUGGAAGUCAUGGAACAUUCAUUAGGUGGUAUUCAUUUAUAUUGAGAUACAAAUGAAAAAACUCUCUCUUCAAACAAAAGUAAAAUAAAAAGGCAGCCUUUAAUGUGUAAAAAAAAGCCAAGGCUUGAAAAAAUAAAAAAUAAAAAGGCAGCCUUUUUACGUGUAAAAAAAGCCAGGGCUAGAAAAAAAAUAAAAUAAAAAGGCAGCCUUUCAUGUGUAAAAUAAAAAGCCAAGGCAAGUAAAAAAAUAAAAUAAAAUGGCAGCCUUUCAUGAGUUAAAAAAGCCAAGGCCAGAAAAAAGAAUAUCGAGCGAAAAACAGAAAUAUGCUCAAAAGAAUAAGAUCACUUGGUUUAGAAGGUAGAAAAAUCUCCAGUUUGGGGUGUUGAGCUGUCAGAAUUUUGUAUUUUAGUGAGAUGGGAAGGAUGUUGUGAGGGAUGUGCUAGUAUUUUAAGAAUGGUGAUAAGCUACUUAUCCAAAUAUGAUCACACCUUUACCAAAAGCCCCGUUACAUCCAAAUGAAAAGACCUUUUGAUUUAGGCAUCAUAUUGACUUGUGAGCGAUGAAUUUUGCUUGAUUUUGGGAGAAAGAUCUUAUGUGCUUAAAAUAAAGAAUAGCUGGAAGAACUUCUCUUUAUGAAUUAGCGACGAUGGUUUGAGACUCCCAAGACAUAAAUCGAACUAACAUUGAAGCAUUGGAUGCCUAGCUCUUAGGGAAUUAGUUCGUGUACAAUUCAUGUUCUAAAAGUUUUACUCGCGAGUGAAUUCGGGCUCAACCUAAUUUCUCUAAAUGAUUCGUGUGAUUUGACGUGAGUUGAAGUAGAGGAUUAUCUAAUUUCUUGUGAAUGUGCUUAUUUAUCUAACUUGCUUGAGGGCGAGCAAGACUUAUGUUUGGGAAGUAUUUGAUGUGUGUGGGUAAUUGUUUGGGAAGUAUUUGAUGUGUGUGGGUAAUUGUUUAACUUGUUAUUACAUAAUGGAUGGAAUGGCGGGCAGUGUACUACUGCUCCGGUUCAAUUUUGACCACCUCACUAUUUAUUCCAGCGAGUUGAAGGGUAUAAAGUUGCAACCAAUAUUUGCUUCAAUAUUCAAACAUUUAUUUACUUUAGUUCGAUAUUUAGUGUGUCAUUUCAUACUAAAGCCAUCAAUGAAAAACUACUGCCAAAUCUUUAUGAUGCUCUACACUUGUUGGUACCUGAUAAAAUUGGGGUUGGACUUGCUUUGUCUAAUUCUGAAGAACACAAUAUCACCACGAUACCAGGAUGUGUGGUUAGUUAUUCUCUUCUUUGUACAUACAUUUAGACAUAAUUUUUUGUUUGUUGUAGGAAGUGGAAUACAUACAACAGUUUAUUAUUUUUAUCUCCUUGGAAUUCUUCAACUUGUUGCACUAAACCUUAACCCUUUUCUUGGCUGUAUUUAGGAAAGACUUUCUGUUUGAGUCAGAUUGCAGAGCUGCUGUGUACCAAUCCUGUUGCGUUUGAGGCUACUGAGAUAAUUCAGCAUAUUCUUGUGCUACUCUUAGUCGAUUUGAAGGCCUCUCGUUCUUGCAAAUGUUAUCUCUCGUGGAACUAAAGUGUUUUCCGUGAUAGUUCCUACUGCAUAAAUAGACUAGAAAGUACUUAGUCGAUCCGAAGGUCGAGGGUGGUAGGGGGCGACUGAGUUCUUAACUUAAAAGAUGAGGGGGAAAGGGUGGAAAACUGAAGGGGUGGAAAACUGAAGGCACAAGUCUAUUUAUUGAUGAGCUUGCUUUGUGAUCUUUUGUUUCUUGGUUGUUGCGCCUAUAUUUUUCCUACUUAUUUAAUUCAUUCUUUGCUGCAUUUUGCAGUUUUAUAAUUGAUCUGUUACACAUAUUAUAUUUUUGUUUGUUAUAAUUGAUCUGUUACAUACAUUUUAUUUUUGUUUGUUAUACUGUGCCUGACUUUUUUCUACUUUUUCUAAUCCACUUUUUGCUACCUUGCACCAUAAUUAAUUAAUACAUACAUAGCAUCCUAUUUUUCUUUGUCUCAUAUGUCCUGUACAAAUAUGUGCUAUAUAAGUGUUUCUUUGAUAUGUAAACCCCAUUGAUUGUCAAAUCUUGGAUUCUUAAUAUAUAUGUUAAAUGUUUUUAUAGGCUCUUUCCUAGUUACUUACUACACACAUUUCCUUUUUACUUUGGCAUUCGGUUUGCUGUAAUUGCAUCUAAAAAAGAAACCGUGGGCCAUGGAAGCUGGUUGGGCACUCAAUUAGUGUCAAGUAAAGAUACUUUCUAUGAGGUUAGUGUUGCCACUACUGUAGCAGAGUGACUGACCUUUCUCAUGAUUUUAAUAUUUUUGCAAUGCAGGAAUGGAAACUGCAGCUUGUUGCCACUAUGUACAAUACAUGGAAUCUAGACUACUUCGAUUUCUGUAUAUUUGGUCAAGUUCCUCAACAAUUUAAUUUAACUUAACAUCUCUUAUAUGCCAGUUCAGUAGUUUGUACAUAGUCUACUGUGUUUGAGUUUGUUUUCUUUACCUGUCCGUUUGAUGAUUAUGAUUGAUACAACAAAUUUUGGUUUACUGAGUGAACAUAAGAACAGAUUAAUAGUGUUGUAAUAUACUAUUCAACUUAACUAUGAAUUGUAAUGUUACCCCGUUCUAAAAUUUUCAGCUUGCCUGUAAUGUUUAUCCUUUGUGAAUGUUUCUGCUUCAGGAUCAGUCAAUAAGCGUCAACUUGUGACUCACCAUAUGCUGUGUAUUGCUCUACGAGCUGCUUUAGAUGCUUUAGGGAAGCUUGCAAAUUCAAGUGUUUGUUCCUUCCUAGGUUAUUGGUUAAUGUUAUUAUUGUGAAUUUCAGUCUAACCUUGGAUUUAUGACAUUCCAAUGUUUUCCUUCGGGAGAAAGGCAUUAGAGCAGUUUCUGGACCAUCUCAUUCAGUAUCACUGCUCUUUUUUGACCACCUCACUAUUUAUUCCAGCGAGUUGAAGGGUAUAAAGCUGCAACCAAUACUUGCUUCAAUAUUCAAACAUUUAUUUGUUAAACCUAACUUUAGUUCGAUAUUAAGUGUGUCAUUUCAUACUAAAGCCAUCAAUGAAGAACUUCUGCAUAAUCAGUCUGAUGCUCUACACUUGUUUGUACCUGAUAAAAUUGAAGUUGGUCUAGCUUUGUCUAAUUCUGAAGAACACGAUACCAGGAUCUGUGGUUAGUUAUUCUCUUCUUUAUACAUACAUUUAGAUAUAAUUUUUUGUUUAGUUGUAGGAAGUGGAAUACAUACAACAGUUUAUUAUUUUUAUGUCUUUGGAAUUCUUCUACGUGUUGCACUAAACAUGUAACCCUUUUCUUGUCUGUAUGCAGAAAAGAAAUUCUUUUUGAGUCAGAUUACAGAGAUUGCAGGCCCACCAUUUUCUCUGAUCGGACCCGGCAGCAUAUUGUGUGGAUUAGCAAUUCCCUCUUCGAUCUCACUACAACAGAGACCACCAAGUUCUCUAGAUGAGAGUUGACUCCUAAUUACAUGAAGCCAUCACAACACACCUACCCUUCCU
This is an RNA transcript of Salvia splendens (bonfire salvia), 5244 nucleotides long. RefSeq lists it as uncharacterized. Lineage: Eukaryota; Viridiplantae; Streptophyta; Magnoliopsida; Lamiales; Lamiaceae. The record is from RefSeq and is a predicted model, not a curated record. The transcript has 7 exons.